CAACACGGAUCUCUUGGUUCUGGCAUCGAUGAGAACGCAGCGAAAUGCGAUAAGUAAUGUGAAUUGCAGAAUUCAGUGAAUCAUCGAAUCUUUAACGCACAUUGCACCCGGUGGUAUUCCGCCGGGUAUGCCUGUUCGAGCGUCAUUAUAACCACUCAAGCCUGUCUUGGUGUUGGGGAUUGCGAAUCUCGCAGCCCUAGAGUCCAGUAGCGUCACCUGUAGGUCCUAAGCGUAGUAAUUUCUCCUCGCUACAGAACCUGCCGGUGGAUAGUGUAAAUCCAGUUAAGUCUGGUAUCCCGCUAUUAAACCCCCAAAUUUUAAAGGUUGACCUCGGAUCAAGUAGGGAUACCCGCUGAACUUAAGCAUAUCAAUAAGCGGAGGAAAAGAAACCAACAGGGAUUACCUUAGUAACGGCGAGUGAAGCGGUAACUGCUCAAAUUUGAAAGCUGCCAACAGGCCGCGUUGUAAUUUGUAGAAGAUGCUUUGGGUGUCGGCCCAGUCUAAGUUCCUUGGAACAGGACGUCAUAGAGGGUGAGAAUCCCGUAUGUGAUUGGUGCCGUCCCCCGUGUAAAGCUCUUUCGACGAGUCGAGUUGUUUGGGAAUGCAGCUCAAAAUGGGUGGUAAAUUUCAUCUAAAGCUAAAUAUUGGCCAGAGACCGAUAGCGCACAAGUAGAGUGAUCGAAAGAUGAAAAGCACUUGGAAAGAGAGUUAAACAGUACGUGAAAUUGUUGAAAGGGAAGCGCUUGCAAUCAGACUUGCAGGCGGUUGAUCAUCCGAGGUUCUCCCCGGUGCACUCGAUCGUCUUCAGGCCAGCAUCGGUUUCAGUGGUGGGAUAAAGGCUGUGAGAACGUGGCUCUUCGGAGUGUUAUAGCUCACGGUGCAAUGCCGCCUACGGGGACCGAGGACCGCGUUCGGCUAGGAUGCUGGCGUAAUGGUUGUAAGCGACCCGUCUUGAAACACGGACCAAGGAGUCUAACAUCUAUGCGAGUGUUUGGGUGUCAAACCCAUACGCGUAAUGAAAGUGAACGGAGGUGAGACCCCAUUAGGGCGCAUCAUCGACCGAUCCUGAUGUCUUCGGAUGGAUUUGAGUAAGAGCAUAGCUGUUGGGACCCGAAAGAUGGUGAACUAUGCGUGAAUAGGGUGAAGCCAGAGGAAACUCUGGUGGAGGCUCGCAGCGGUUCUGACGUGCANAUCGAUCGUCAAAUUUGCGUA
RNAcentral lists this ribosomal RNA (1212 nucleotides) under ericoid mycorrhizal sp. PPO-9. RNAcentral describes it as "eukaryotic LSU rRNA". The stretch from base 326 to 1212 matches the Rfam family "Eukaryotic large subunit ribosomal RNA", at positions 1 to 917 of the family's 3401-position model. Lineage: Eukaryota; Fungi; Ascomycota; Leotiomycetes; Helotiales. The record is from RNAcentral.